AGAAAGCGUAAAAGCGAACAAGUCGAGUCGGCCUGCGCGGAAGAUGUAACGGGGCUCAAACCAGGUACCGAAGCUACGGGUUCAACGUAAGUUGAGCGGUAGAGGAGCGUUCUGUAAGCCUGUGAAGGUCAGUUGAGAAGCUGGCUGGAGGUAUCAGAAGUGCGAAUGCUGACAUGAGUAACGACAAUGCGAGUGAAAAACUCGCACGCCGAAAGACCAAGGUUUCCUGCGCAACGUUAAUCGACGCAGGGUUAGUCGGCCCCUAAGGCGAGGCAGAAAUGCGUAGUCGAUG
Molecule: ribosomal RNA, 292 nt
Filed under: Klebsiella pneumoniae
Lineage: Bacteria; Pseudomonadati; Pseudomonadota; Gammaproteobacteria; Enterobacterales; Enterobacteriaceae
Description: partial 23S ribosomal RNA
Rfam family: Bacterial large subunit ribosomal RNA
Source: RNAcentral